UCAACUCUAAAAACUGACAGGUUCUCUAAAAAAUUAGUUUGUUCCUUAUAUCGUCUCUUUUUGGCUCUCUUUGAGGACCUUUCUUUAAGAAUUGCAAACAGAGGACAAAGAGGAAACAUAGAGGAUCGUCAUUUUUGCCGCUUUGCUUUAAGGAACACAUAAUCGAGGUGAGACUCUACAAGGUCAUGAUGAUGAUGUUGGAGGAGAUUAGAGAAGGUAAGAGGCUAAAUGUCACCGUUGUAGGUGAGACUAUACAAGAUCAUGAUGAUGAUGUUGGAGGAGAGACUUAGGCCUUUGUUUAUUAUCUUUUAUUUUUAGUUUUAGUUUGGGACCGUAAAACUCUAAUGGGUUGUGAUAUAAGAGAUUGAUUUUUAUUAUUUUAUGCCUGUUUUUUAAACUAAAUUAGUAAUUUUAUUUCUUAAGGUUGAUUAUGUUUUAUGGACUUGUAAGACCAAAUGUAAACCAAUAUAUUUUAUUGACAA
This is a long non-coding RNA of Glycine soja, 482 nucleotides long. RefSeq lists it as uncharacterized. Lineage: Eukaryota; Viridiplantae; Streptophyta; Magnoliopsida; Fabales; Fabaceae. The record is from RefSeq and is a predicted model, not a curated record. The transcript has 3 exons.